RNAcentral lists this unclassified non-coding RNA (427 nucleotides) under soil metagenome. Its description in RNAcentral is "partial contains 5.8S ribosomal RNA, internal transcribed spacer 2, and large subunit ribosomal RNA". The stretch from base 1 to 120 matches the Rfam family "5.8S ribosomal RNA", at positions 35 to 154 of the family's 154-position model. The record is from RNAcentral.
GAUGAAGAACGUAGCGAAAUGCGAUACGUAAUGUGAAUUGCAGAAUUCAGUGAAUCAUCGAAUCUUUGAACGCAUAUUGCGCUCUUUGGUAUUCCGAAGAGCAUGCUUGUUUGAGUAUCAGUAAACACCUCAAAGACUUCAAUUUGUUUUGAAUGGCUUUGGACUUGAGCAAUCCCAACACCAGUCUUUACGAUCGGUGGAGGGUUGCUUGAAAUGCAGGUGCAGCUGGACAUUCUCCUGAGCUAAAAGCAUAUUUAUUUAGUCCCGUCAAACGGAUUAUUACUUUUGCUGCAGCUAACAUAAAGGGAGUUUGACCGUAUUGGCUGACUGAUGCAGGAUUUCACAAGGGUCGGCAACGAUUCUUGUAAAACUCGAUCUCAAAUCAAGUAAGACUACCCGCUGAACUUAAGCAUAUCAAUACGGAGGA